UUGAUGGACUUGCUGAUGGGUCAAUGAGA
RNAcentral lists this non-coding RNA (29 nucleotides) under Rattus norvegicus (Norway rat). Lineage: Eukaryota; Metazoa; Chordata; Mammalia; Rodentia; Muridae. The record is from RNAcentral.